RNAcentral lists this ribosomal RNA (504 nucleotides) under uncultured bacterium. RNAcentral's name for it is "partial 16S ribosomal RNA". It matches the Rfam family "Bacterial small subunit ribosomal RNA", at positions 28 to 507 of the family's 1533-position model. The record is from RNAcentral.
GACGAACGCUGGCGGCGUGCUUAACACAUGCAAGUCGAACGGUGAAGCGCUUGCCUUUUUGGUGGGUGUGGAUGAGUGGCGAACGGGUGAGUAACACGUGAGUAACCUGCCCUCUUCUUCUGGAUAACCUCAUGAAAGUGGGGCUAAUACGGGGUAUUCCGGGUCUGUCGCAUGGCGGGUUUGGGAAAGAUUGCGCCUUUGGGUGUUUUCGGUGGGGGAUGGGCUCGCGGCCUAUCAGCUUGUUGGUGGGGUGAUGGCCUACCAAGGCGGUGACGGGUAGCCGGCCUGAGAGGGUGGACGGCCACACUGGGACUGAGACACGGCCCAGACUCCUGCGGGAGGCAGCAGUGGGGAAUAUUGCACAAUGGGCGCAAGCCUGAUGCAGCGACGCCGCGUGAGGGAUGGAGGCCUUCGGGUUGUGAACCUCUUUCGCCAGUGAAGCAGGCCUGCCCCUGUGUGGGUGGGUUGACGGUAGCUGGAUAAGAAGCGCCGGCUAACUACGUG